GGGUAAGUUAAAACAAAAUAUAAAUAAAAUAAAACUAAAAAUAAACAGUACUGCCAGUGCAACCAUAUAGAUUACAUUUUUACAAUGAAAAACGUCUUCAAAGCAUAAACAAACGGGAAUCGUCUAGCUACGGAUGUUAUUUACUGCUGUUAAGGAGAUAUUUCCAAGCAGGAGGAAGUUCUUGUGCUGGGUGGUCGUUAAGGAGAGAUUCUUGACUCUGCCUUGCGUAAAUCUCGAUGGCUUCCGCUGUAGCGGCAUGUUUUUCUUUCGGAAGUGUUUUUAUUAUCCGCACUUCCGGCCAUCUUACUUCUACAUUGUCUUCAAAUGCAUUUCUCGUUAAGGAUGUACAUAGUCUACCUUUAGCUAUGUCUUUUUUGUG
RNAcentral lists this long non-coding RNA (379 nucleotides) under Androctonus crassicauda. Lineage: Eukaryota; Metazoa; Arthropoda; Arachnida; Scorpiones; Buthidae. The record is from RNAcentral.